UUUUCAUUAUUUAAAGUAAUAAAACCUGUUUUCCAAACAGGCAUUCUAGUAGUUAGAUGRAAGA
RNAcentral lists this transfer RNA (64 nucleotides) under Crenobia alpina. RNAcentral describes it as "tRNA-Gly". The record is from RNAcentral. Lineage: Eukaryota; Metazoa; Platyhelminthes; Tricladida; Planariidae.